AGCUCCAAUAGCGUAUAUUAAAGUUGUUGCAGUUAAAAAGCUCGUAGUUGGAUCUCAGGGUGAGCUCAGUUGGUCGGCCUAAUUGGUCAGAACUGGCUGUCUCUCCCUUGUUUCUGGAUCCCUUCCGGAGUUGAUUCUUCGGUAGUGGACUCCAGAUCGUUUACCUUGAAAAAAUUAGAGUGUUCAAAGCGGGCGUUUGCUUGAAUACAUUAGCAUGGAAUAAUGGAAUAGGACCCUGGUCUUAUUUUGUUGGUUUUGAGGACCAGAGUAAUGAUUAAUAGGGAUAGUUGGGGGCAUUCAUAUUUAAUUGUCAGAGGUGAAAUUCUUGGAUUUAUGAAAGAUGAACUUCUGCGAAAGCAUUUGCCAAGGAUGUUUUCAUUAAUCAAGAACGAAAGUACGC
Molecule: ribosomal RNA, 400 nt
Filed under: phytoplankton environmental sample
Lineage: Eukaryota
Description: partial small subunit ribosomal RNA
Rfam family: Eukaryotic small subunit ribosomal RNA
Source: RNAcentral